RNAcentral lists this transfer RNA (65 nucleotides) under Dipodomys ordii (Ord's kangaroo rat). It matches the Rfam family "tRNA". Rfam says of the family: Transfer RNA (tRNA) molecules are approximately 80 nucleotides in length. The record is from Rfam by way of RNAcentral. Lineage: Eukaryota; Metazoa; Chordata; Mammalia; Rodentia; Heteromyidae.
GGUGGCUUAGUGGUAGAGCACUUGCCUUGCAUGUAUGAGGCCAUGGGUUCGAUUCCUCAGCACCA